ACGAACGCUGGCGGCGUGCCUAAUCCAUGCAAGUAGAACGCUGAAGAGAGGAGCUUGCUCUUCUUGGAUGAGUUGCGAACGGGUGAGUAACGCGUAGGUAACCUGCCUUGUAGCGGGGGAUAACUAUUGGAAACGAUAGCUAAUACCGCAUAACAAUGGAUGACACAUGUCAUUUAUUUGAAAGGGGCAAUUGCUCCACUACAAGAUGGACCUGCGUUGUAUUAGCUAGUAGGUGAGGUAAUGGCUCACCUAGGCGACGAUACAUAGCCGACCUGAGAGGGUGAUCGGCCACACUGGGACUGAGACACGGCCCAGACUCCUACGGGAGGCAGCAGUAGGGAAUCUUCGGCAAUGGGGGCAACCCUGACCGAGCAACGCCGCGUGAGUGAAGAAGGGUUUCGGAUCGUAAAGCUCUGUUGUAAGUCAAGAACGGGUGUGAGAGUGGAAAGUUCACACUGUGACGGUAGCUUACCAGAAAGGGACGGCUAACUACGUG
This 496-nucleotide ribosomal RNA is filed under the name uncultured bacterium. RNAcentral's name for it is "partial 16S ribosomal RNA". It matches the Rfam family "Bacterial small subunit ribosomal RNA", at positions 29 to 507 of the family's 1533-position model. The record is from RNAcentral.